ACAUGCAGUCGAGGGGUAACAUUGGUGCUUGCACCAGAUGACGACCGGCGCACGGGUGCGUAACGCGUAUACAAUCUGCCUUGUACUGGGGGAUAGCCUUUAGAAAUGAAGAUUAAGACCCCAUAGUAUUAUAGAUUCGCAUGAUGAAAUAAUUAAAGGUUACGGUACAAGAUGAGUAUGCGUCCUAUUAGCUAGAUGGAGUGGUAACGGCACCCCAUGGCGACGAUAGGUAGGGGCCCUGAGAGGGGGAUCCCCCACACUGGUACUGAGACACGGACCAGACUCCUACGGGAGGCAGCAGUGAGGAAUAUUGGACAAUGGGGGCAACCCUGAUCCAGCCAUGCCGCGUGCAGGAAGACUGCCCUAUGGGUUGUAAACUGCUUUUAUACGGGAAGAAACACCGCUACGUGUAGCGGCUUGACGGUACCGUAAGAAUAAGGAUCGGCUAACUCCGUGCCAGCAGCCGCGGUAAUACGGAGGAUCCAAGCGUUAUCCGGAAUCAUUGGGUUUAAAGGGUCCGUAGGUGGGCUGGUCAGUCAGAGGUGAAAUCCCACGGCUCAACCGUGGAACUGCCUUUGAUACUGCUAGUCUUGAGUUAUUAUGAAGUAGUUAGAAUAUGUAGUGUAGCGGUGAAAUGCAUAGAUAUUACAUAGAAUACCAAUUGCGAAGGCAGAUUACUAAUAAUAUACUGACACUGAUGGACGAAAGCGUAGGUAGCGAACGGGAUUAGAUACCCCGGUAGUCUACGCCGUAAACGAUGGAUACUAGCUGUCCGGCUUCGGCUGGGUGGCUAAGCGAAAGUGAUAAGUAUCCCACCUGGGGAGUACGUUCGCAA
This 835-nucleotide ribosomal RNA is filed under the name uncultured Gaetbulibacter sp. RNAcentral's name for it is "bacterial SSU rRNA". It matches the Rfam family "Bacterial small subunit ribosomal RNA", at positions 53 to 891 of the family's 1533-position model. Lineage: Bacteria; Pseudomonadati; Bacteroidota; Flavobacteriia; Flavobacteriales; Flavobacteriaceae. The record is from RNAcentral.